AAAAACGUAGUUGUGUUCUCUUUAUCUGAAAAUAUACUAUUUACCUAUUUGUUAAUUUUAUUGUCUUUCUCUGCCAUUUAGAAUGGAGUCUAGAAUGCAGGGAUUUCUCUGUCCUGCUGUCUCUUUAGCAUCUAGAAUAGUACUGGAUAUAUAGUAGGCUCCUGAUAAAUGUUUUGAACAUAUGCAUAAACAUUAUUCACUUUCUUUUUAUAAGACCUAGCUGUUACAUUCCUUUUACUUUACUUUUAAAUGUAAAUUAUUACAUUUUUGUAAUAAUUUUUAUUUUAACAGUUAUGCAAAUAGAUAGCCUCAACCAUAUCCAGGAUAAAAACGAGAAGGAUGAUUCUCAGAAAGACACCUCCAAAAAGGUUCAAACUAUCUCAGACUGUGAAAAACAAGCCCUUGCACGGUCAGAACCUGGCCAGUUGGCUGACAGCAAGGAAGAAACAUCAAAAAUUGAGAAAGAAGACGGACUUACAUCCCAGCCAGGUAAUGAACAGUUGAAGAGUUCAGACACUUCGCCAGUGUAUGACACCUUAAUGUUUUGUGCAAGUAGGAAUACU
This 563-nucleotide small RNA is filed under the name Pongo abelii (Sumatran orangutan). RNAcentral's name for it is "retained intron". The record is from RNAcentral. Lineage: Eukaryota; Metazoa; Chordata; Mammalia; Primates; Hominidae.